Molecule: ribosomal RNA, 253 nt
Filed under: uncultured bacterium
Lineage: Bacteria
Description: partial 16S ribosomal RNA
Rfam family: Bacterial small subunit ribosomal RNA
Source: RNAcentral
UACGGGGGGUGCAGGCGUUAAUCGGAAUUACUGGGCGUAAAGGGCGCGUAGGCGGCCUGCUAAGUCGGACGUGAAAUCCCCCGGCUCAACCGGGGAACUGCGUCCGAUACUGGUGGGCUCGAAUCCGGGAGAGGGAUGUGGAAUUCCAGGUGUAGCGGUGAAAUGCGUAGAUAUCUGGAGGAACACCGGUGGCGAAGGCGGCAUCCUGGACCGGCAUUGACGCUGAGGCGCGAAAGCCAGGGGAGCAAACGGG